RNAcentral lists this ribosomal RNA (523 nucleotides) under uncultured bacterium. RNAcentral describes it as "bacterial SSU rRNA". It matches the Rfam family "Bacterial small subunit ribosomal RNA", at positions 8 to 518 of the family's 1533-position model. The record is from RNAcentral.
AGAGUUUGAUUCUGGCUCAGGAUGAACGCUAGCUACAGGCUUAACACAUGCAAGUCGAGGGGCAGCAGGACGAUAGCUUGCUAUUGUUGCUGGCGACCGGCGCACGGGUGAGUAACGCGUAUCCAACCUUCCCCUUAGUAGGGCAUAGCCCGGUGAAAAUCGGAUUAAUACCCUAUGUUGUGUCAUGAGGACAUCUGAAUAACACUAAAGAUUUAUCGCUAAGGGAUGGGGAUGCGUCCGAUUAGGUAGUCGGCGGGGUAACGGCCCACCGAGCCCUCGAUCGGUAGGGGUUCUGAGAGGAAGGUCCCCCACACUGGUACUGAGACACGGACCAGACUCCUACGGGAGGCAGCAGUGAGGAAUAUUGGUCAAUGGGGCGUAAGCCUGAACCAGCCAAGUAAGCGUGCAGGAUGACGGCCCUAUGGGUUGUAAACUGCUUUUAUACGGGGAUAAAGUGAGGGACGUGUCCCUUAUUGUAGGUACCGUAUGAAUAAGGACCGGCUAAUUCCGUGCCAGCCGCCGC